CAUCAACACAACACACAGAGCAACUGAUACUGGAUGCAUUACACCUGCCAAAUCUGACAGUACACCAAUACUCUUAUUCUUUUAGUCCUUAUUCUGGUCUGUAUUCUGUCUGUAUCCCAGCUCCCAAGCACUUCAAGUUUCUUAAAACAUGCACACACAACAAUAAAGAAAAAUGUAUACUAGACAACCUCCAUCUCAUCAAACUAAGACUCACUAAUAAACAGCAACAAACAGACACAGCUGAUAAUUGAUUUGACGAUUCCAGAAUAGUAUAGGUUGAGAACUAAGGAGUGAUUUAUGUGUAGUCAGUGACAAACUUUAAAACUUUAGGAUCCCUCUUGGUGAAAUCCCAACAUGCUGUCAGCUGAGAAGCUCAUUUUCUAAAAUUACCGGGCAAUUACCGCAUACCCCUAAUCAAGUGAUUAAAAAGUAAUGAGCAGCCCAAAUGAAACAGCCACUCAUAAAACUGUGUGUCACUGCCUGGAGCACAAACCUCUUCACUAUUUCUAAAGAUACGGUUUGAUAUUUAAUCAAAGUUGAACAUUUCUCAAAACAUUAAUACCCUACUGAAAAUUUGGAGCAUUGGCUAACCCGUGGCUAAUCUCAGCUCAUGCAACAGCCAGAAUAUUCAAGAAUACAGACCACCUCAACAGCUUGUGUCGACUUCUGAACCGACUGUACACUUCACCUUUAAAACAAAGAUGGCGACCGGAAAUUAACUACUUCUGCCGGAUUUCACAACAAA
Long non-coding RNA from Oreochromis niloticus (Nile tilapia), 745 nucleotides. RefSeq lists it as uncharacterized. The transcript has 3 exons. The record is from RefSeq and is a predicted model, not a curated record. Lineage: Eukaryota; Metazoa; Chordata; Actinopteri; Cichliformes; Cichlidae.